UAGCAAAUCUCAGAUGAAGUCAGGCAACUUCAUGGAGACUAAAACAUCUGUUGUGUAGUCAGGCUUGAUGACUUCUCUUGACGACUCUCAAUUGCAUGGCUGGUACGUCAAUGUGAAAUAGACCCAAACCUGGAUAUCAUCAAAGUGGAUUUGUUUGAGCUUUUCCUCUCAAAAGAAUUGAAAAGACUAAUACCUCAAAACGAUCUGCUGCAGCACUUCAUGAAAAUCAGAUUUCAGCUGUCCUUGAGAGGAAGACAGAAUUGGAAAUGUUCAGAGUAGCAAUUUAUAAUAAACUGCUUUAGAAACAAAUGUGACA
RNAcentral lists this long non-coding RNA (316 nucleotides) under Parus major (Great Tit). Its description in RNAcentral is "lncRNA (ENSPMJG00000014866.1)". The record is from RNAcentral. Lineage: Eukaryota; Metazoa; Chordata; Aves; Passeriformes; Paridae.